This 395-nucleotide ribosomal RNA is filed under the name uncultured bacterium. RNAcentral describes it as "partial 16S ribosomal RNA". It matches the Rfam family "Bacterial small subunit ribosomal RNA", at positions 360 to 773 of the family's 1533-position model. The record is from RNAcentral.
AAUAUUUCACAAUGGGUGAAAGCCUGAUGCAGCAACGCCGCGUGAGCGAUGAAGGCUUUCGGGUCGUAAAGCUCUGUCCUAAGGGAAGAUAAUGACGGUACCUUAGGAGGAAGCCGCGGCUAACUACGUGCCAGCAACCGCGGUAAUACGUAGGGGGCAAGCGUUAUCCGGAUUCAUUGGGCGUAAAGGGUGCGUAGGCGGCCCUAUAGGUCAGAGGUAAAAGGCUACGGCUAAACCGUAGGAAGCCUUUGAAACUGUAGGGCUUGAGUGCAGGAGAGGAGAGGGGAAUUCCUAGUGUAGCGGUGAAAUGCGUAGAUAUUAGGAGGAACACCAGUGGCGAAGGCGACUCUCUGGACUGCAACUGACGCUGAGGCACGAAAGCGUGGGGAGCGAAC